GACGAACGCUGGCGGCGUGCUUAAUACAUGCAAGUCGAACGGAAAGGCCCUGCUUUUGUGGGGUGCUCGAUUGGCGAACGGGUGAGUAACACGUGAGUAACCUGUCCCUGUCUUUGGGAUAACUUCUGGAAACUCGGGCUAAUAUCGGAUAGGAUCUCUUGCUGCACGGUGGGGGUUGGAAAGUUUCGGCGGUUGGGGAUGGACUCGCGGCUUAUCCGCUUCUUGGUGGGGUAGUGGCUUACCAAGGCUGUGACGGGUAGCCGGCCUGAGAGCGUGACCAGGCACAUGGGGACUGAGAUACGGACCAGACUCCUACGGGACGCAGCAGGGGGAAGUAUUGCACAAUGGGCGGAAGCCUGAUGCAGCAACGCCGCGUGCGUGAUGACGGCCUUCUGGUUGUAAACCGCUUUCGCCUGUGACGAAGCGUGAGUGACGGUAAUGGGUCAAGAAGCACCGGCUAACUACGUG
This 468-nucleotide ribosomal RNA is filed under the name uncultured bacterium. Its description in RNAcentral is "partial 16S ribosomal RNA". It matches the Rfam family "Bacterial small subunit ribosomal RNA", at positions 28 to 507 of the family's 1533-position model. The record is from RNAcentral.